This 582-nucleotide ribosomal RNA is filed under the name uncultured fungus. RNAcentral describes it as "eukaryotic LSU rRNA". The stretch from base 203 to 356 matches the Rfam family "5.8S ribosomal RNA". Lineage: Eukaryota; Fungi. The record is from RNAcentral.
CUUGGUCAUUUAGAGGAAGUAAAAGACGUAACAAGGUCUCCGUUGGUGAACCAGCGGAGGGAUCAUUACCGAGUUUACAACUCCCAAACCCCUGUGAACAUACCAUUUGUUGCCUCGGCGGUGCCUGCUUCGGCAGCCCGCCAGAGGACCCAAACCCUUGAUUUUAUACAGUAUCUUCUGAGUAAAUGAUUAAAUAAAUCAAAACUUUCAACAACGGAUCUCUUGGUUCUGGCAUCGAUGAAGAACGCAGCGAAAUGCGAUAAGUAAUGUGAAUUGCAGAAUUCAGUGAAUCAUCGAAUCUUUGAACGCACAUUGCGCCCGCCAGUAUUCUGGCGGGCAUGCCUGUUCGAGCGUCAUUUCAACCCUCAAGCCCCCGGGCUUGGUGUUGGAGAUCGGCGUGCCCCCCGGGGCGCGCCGGCUCCCAAAUAUAGUGGCGGUCUCGCUGUAGCUUCCUCUGCGUAGUAGCACACCUCGCACUGGAAAACAGCGUGGCCACGCCGUUAAACCCCCCACUUCUGAAAGGUCGACCUCGGAUCAGGUAGGAAUACCCGCUGAACUUAAGCAUAUCAAUAAGCGGAGGAA